This is a non-coding RNA of Schistosoma haematobium, 45 nucleotides long. The record is from Rfam. Lineage: Eukaryota; Metazoa; Platyhelminthes; Trematoda; Strigeidida; Schistosomatidae.
UCUCUACUGAAGAGUUCCAAAUAGGACGAAACGAAUGUCUUGGAA